RNAcentral lists this ribosomal RNA (417 nucleotides) under uncultured bacterium. RNAcentral's name for it is "bacterial SSU rRNA". It matches the Rfam family "Archaeal small subunit ribosomal RNA", at positions 455 to 871 of the family's 1478-position model. The record is from RNAcentral.
GUGCCAGCCGCCGCGGUAAUACCGGCGGCUCGAGUGGUGGCCGCUAUUACUGGGCUUAAAGGGUCCGUAGCUUGAUAACUGGGUCCCUUGAGAAAUCCGCUGGCUUAACUUGCGGGCGCUCAGGGGAACCUUGUUUUCUUGGGACCGGGAGAGGUGAGGGGUACUGCCGGGGUAGGAGUGAAAUCCUGUAAUCCCGGUGGGACCCCCUAUGGCGAAGGCAUCUCACCAGAACGGGUCCGACAGUGAGGGACGAAAGCUGGGGGAGCAAACCGGAUGAGAUACCCGGGUAGUCCCAGCUGUAAACUAUGGGCGUUAGGUGGGUCAGUGACCACGUGUCACUGAGGUGCCGAAGGGAAACCGUGAAACGCACCGCCUGGGGAGUACGGUCGCAAGGCUGAAACUUAAAUGAAUUGACGG